Molecule: ribosomal RNA, 433 nt
Filed under: uncultured bacterium
Lineage: Bacteria
Description: partial 16S ribosomal RNA
Rfam family: Bacterial small subunit ribosomal RNA
Source: RNAcentral
AACGAACGCUGGCGGCAUGCCUAACACAUGCAAGUCGAACGAGACCUUCGGGUCUAGUGGCGCACGGGUGCGUAACGCGUGGGAACCUGCCCUUAGGUUCGGAAUAACUCCCCGAAAGGGGUGCUAAUACCGGAUAAUGUCUCCGGACCAAAGAUUUAUCGCCUUUGGAUGGGCCCGCGUUGGAUUAGCUAGUUGGUAGGGUAAAAGCCUACCAAGGCGACGAUCCAUAGCUGGUCUGAGAGGAUGAUCAGCCACACUGGGACUGAGACACGGCCCAGACUCCUACGGGAGGCAGCAGUGGGGAAUAUUGGACAAUGGGCGAAAGCCUGAUCCAGCAAUGCCGCGUGAGUGAUGAAGGCCUUAGGGUUGUAAAGCCCUUUUACCCGGGAUGAUAAUGACAGUACCGGGAGAAUAAGCUCCGGCUAACUCCGUG